ACGAACGCUGGCGGCGUGCCUAAUACAUGCAAGUCGAGCGGAGCUAGUGUUUUCUUCGGAAAACACGAUGCUUAGCGGCGGACGGGUGAGUAACACGUAGGUAACCUGCCCAUAAGACCGGGAUAACAUUCGGAAACGGAUGCUAAUACCGGAUACGCGAUUCUCUCGCAUGAGGGAGUUGGGAAAGGCGGAGCAAUCUGUCACUUAUGGAUGGACCUGCGGCGCAUUAGCUAGUUGGUGAGGUAACGGCUCACCAAGGCGACGAUGCGUAGCCGACCUGAGAGGGUGAUCGGCCACACUGGGACUGAGACACGGCCCAGACUCCUACGGGAGGCAGCAGUAGGGAAUCUUCCGCAAUGGACGAAAGUCUGACGGAGCAACGCCGCGUGAGUGAUGAAGGUUUUCGGAUCGUAAAGCUCUGUUGCCAGGGAAGAACGCUAGAGAGAGUAACUGCUCUUUAGGUGACGGUACCUGAGAAGAAAGCCCCGGCUAACUACGUG
This 500-nucleotide ribosomal RNA is filed under the name uncultured Paenibacillus sp. RNAcentral's name for it is "bacterial SSU rRNA". It matches the Rfam family "Bacterial small subunit ribosomal RNA", at positions 29 to 507 of the family's 1533-position model. Lineage: Bacteria; Bacillati; Bacillota; Bacilli; Caryophanales; Paenibacillaceae. The record is from RNAcentral.